UACGGAGGGGGCUAGCGUUGUUCGGAAUUACUGGGCGUAAAGCGCACGUAGGCGGCUUUGUAAGUCAGGGGUGAAAGCCUGGAGCUCAACUCCAGAACUGCCUUUGAGACUGCAUCGCUUGAAUCCGGGAGAGGUGAGUGGAAUUCCGAGUGUAGAGGUGAAAUUCGUAGAUAUUCGGAAGAACACCAGUGGCGAAGGCGGCUCACUGGACCGGAAUUGACGCUGAGGUGCGAAAGCGUGGGGAGCAAACGGG
This 253-nucleotide ribosomal RNA is filed under the name uncultured bacterium. Its description in RNAcentral is "partial 16S ribosomal RNA". It matches the Rfam family "Bacterial small subunit ribosomal RNA", at positions 524 to 776 of the family's 1533-position model. The record is from RNAcentral.